Unclassified non-coding RNA from Pongo abelii (Sumatran orangutan), 148 nucleotides. It matches the Rfam family "Metazoan signal recognition particle RNA". From Rfam's summary of the family: The signal recognition particle (SRP) is a universally conserved ribonucleoprotein. The record is from Ensembl. NCBI's taxonomy places the organism in Eukaryota, Metazoa, Chordata, Mammalia, Primates, Hominidae.
GCUGGGUGUGGUGGUGCACACCUAUUGUCCCAGCUACUUGGGAAGCUGAGACAAGAGGAUCACUUGAGCCCAGGAGUUCAAGGCUGCAGUGAGCUAUGAUCAUGCCACUGCACUUCAGCCUGGACAACAGAGCAAGACCAUGUCUCUA